Molecule: ribosomal RNA, 489 nt
Filed under: uncultured bacterium
Lineage: Bacteria
Description: partial 16S ribosomal RNA
Rfam family: Bacterial small subunit ribosomal RNA
Source: RNAcentral
GUGAACGCUGGCGGUAGGCCUAACCCCUGCCAGUCGCACGGCAGCACCGGAGAGCUUGCUCUCUGGGUGGCGAGUGGCGGACGGGUGAGGAAUACAUCGGAAUCUGCCCAGUCGUGGGGGAUAACGUAGGGAAACUUACGCUAAUACCGCAUACGACCUUCGGGUGAAAGAGGGGGAUCGCAAGACCUCUCGCGAUUGGAUGAGCCGAUGUCGGAUUAGAUAGUUGGCGGGGUAAUGGCCCACCAAGGCGACGAUCCGUAGCUGGUCUGAGAGGAUGAUCAGCCACACUGGAACUGAGACACGGUCCAGACUCCUACGGGAGGCAGCAGUGGGGAAUAUUGGACAAUGGGCGCAAGCCUGAUCCAGCCAUACCGCGUGGGUGAAGAAGGCCUUCGGGUUGUAAAGCCCUUUUGUUGGGAAAGAAAUCUUUCAGGCUAAUACCCUGGGAGGAUGACGGUACCCAAAGAAUAAGCACCGGCUAACUUCGUG